Molecule: ribosomal RNA, 116 nt
Filed under: Caerostris extrusa
Lineage: Eukaryota; Metazoa; Arthropoda; Arachnida; Araneae; Araneidae
Source: RNAcentral
AACGGCCAUACCAUGCUGAAUAUACCGGUUCUCGUUAGAUCACCGAAGUCAAGCAAGCAUCAUUGGGCGCGGUCAGUACUUGGGUGGGCGACCACCUGGGAACACCGUGUGCCGUU